AGGGUCCUCAACAUAGCCAGGUCGAAGUUCAUUUUGUCCUCUAUUUCAUAUUCCAAUUAUAUAAAAGAAAACGUACAGUGUCAAACCGAAUAUUGUUCAUAUCUUAAUUUCUUUCAAUUUAUGAGAUCUAACUCAACAGCCAGGAACUAUGACCACAUGUUCUCUGUGGUAGGGUCAUAUCACCGACUAUUCUUCUUGCGGUACCAAUGUAUUAGCCCCCAUUGGCAGGGUCCUCAACAUAGCCCGACUGCAAGCCUGAAUCUAUUUCAAGUCAUAAUCUUUUCUUAUAUUAUGUUUAAUGUUCCAAACCAAAGGGUACAAUGUCAGAGUAAUUAAACACAAUUCGAACCAGAAGCAAAUACGUCCAAUCAGAAUCAUACAAUAUUCUAAAAUACACAUAUAAUCCAUGCAUCAAAUUCGAAAUCACGAACAAUUCAAUUCGUAAAACAUAUACAUAGUUUGCCGAUAAAUCUAGUAAAGAGGUUACAUCACUUACCUUGCAAACGCGAUCCACAACAAAUCCAAUUAAUUCUGCAAUCCCUCGC
Molecule: long non-coding RNA, 545 nt
Filed under: Phoenix dactylifera (date palm)
Lineage: Eukaryota; Viridiplantae; Streptophyta; Magnoliopsida; Arecales; Arecaceae
Description: long non-coding RNA (PDAC_LNC022060)
Source: RNAcentral